RNAcentral lists this ribosomal RNA (630 nucleotides) under uncultured fungus. RNAcentral describes it as "eukaryotic LSU rRNA". It matches the Rfam family "Eukaryotic large subunit ribosomal RNA", at positions 24 to 664 of the family's 3401-position model. Lineage: Eukaryota; Fungi. The record is from RNAcentral.
CCCGCUGAACUUAAGCAUAUCAAUAAGCGGAGGAGAAGAAACCAACAGGGAUUACCCUAGUAACGGCGAGUGAAGCGGUAAUAGCUCAAAUUUGAAAUCUGACCUUUACGGGUUCGAGUUGUAAUUUGUAGAAGAUGCUUCGGGUGUGGCCCUGGUCCUAAGUUCAUUGGAACAGGACGUCAUAGAGGGUGAGAAUCCCGUAUGUGACUGGGUGCCUAUGCUCAUGUGAAGCUCUUUCGACGAGUCGAGUUGUUUGGGAAUGCAGCUCAAAAUGGGUGGUAUAUUUCAUCUAAAGCUAAAUAUUGGCCAGAGACCGAUAGCGCACAAGUAGAGUGAUCGAAAGAUGAAAAGCACUUUGUCAAAGAGAGUUAAACAGUACGUGAAAUUGUUGAAAGGGAAGCGCUUGCAACCAGACUUGCACGCUGUCGAUCAUCCGAGAUUCUUCCCGGUGCACUCGAUUGCGUUUCAGGCCAGCAUCGGUUUUGGUGGGUAGAUAAAGACCUUAGGAACGUAGCUGCUGCUCGGGGAGUGUUAUAGUCUUCGGUGCAAUGUAGCCUACUGGGACCGAGGACCGCGCUUCGGCUAGGAUGCUGGCGUAAUGGUAGUAAGCGACCCGUCUAUGAAACACGG